CACGUAGGGGACGAGCGUUGUCCGGAUUCAUUGGGCGUAAAGCGCGCGUAGGCGGCUCGGAAAGUCGGUCGUGAAAUGCCGGGGCUCAACCCCGGGACUGCGUCCGAUACUUCCGGGCUGGAGGUAGGUAGGGGAGAUCGGAAUUCCUGGUGUAGCGGUGAAAUGCGCAGAUAUCAGGAGGAACCCCGGUGGCGAAGGCGGAUCUCUGGGCCUUACCUGACGCUGAGGCGCGAAAGCUAGGGGAGCGAACAGG
Molecule: ribosomal RNA, 253 nt
Filed under: uncultured bacterium
Lineage: Bacteria
Description: partial 16S ribosomal RNA
Rfam family: Bacterial small subunit ribosomal RNA
Source: RNAcentral